RNAcentral lists this ribosomal RNA (440 nucleotides) under uncultured bacterium. RNAcentral describes it as "partial 16S ribosomal RNA". It matches the Rfam family "Bacterial small subunit ribosomal RNA", at positions 338 to 795 of the family's 1533-position model. The record is from RNAcentral.
CCUACGGGUGGCAGCAGUGGGGGAUAUUGCACAAUGGGGGAAACCCUGAUGCAGCGACGCCGCGUGUGGGAAGACGGUCUUCUGGAUUGUAAACCACUGUCCCCAGGGACGAAAAUGACGGUACCUGGGGAGGAAGCUCCGGCUAACUACGUGCCAGCAGCCGCGGUAAUACGUAGGGAGCAAGCGUUGUCCGGAAUUACUGGGUGGAAGGGGAGCGUAGGCGGGGAUGCAAGUUGGGUGUCAAAACUACCGGCUAAACCGAUAGUCGCACUCAAAACUGCAACUCUUGAGUGAAGUAGAAGCAGGCGGAAUUCCUAGUGUAGCGGUGAAAUGCGUAGAUAUUAGGAGGAACACCAGUGGCGAAGGCGGCCUGCUGGGCUUUUACUGACGCUGAGGCUCGAAAGUGUGGGGAGCAAACAGGAGUAGAUACCCGGGUAGUC